GACGAACGCUGGCGGCGUGCCUAACACAUGCAAGUCAACUUGACUGAAGGAGCAAUCUGACAGUAGAGUGGCGCAAGGGUGCGUAACGCGUAAGUAACUUGCCCCAAGGUAAGGAAUAACGUCGAGAAAUCGGCGCUAAUACCUCAUAAUGCAGCGGAUCCGCAUGGAUAUGUUGUUAAAGGUUUACCGCCUUGGGAUAGGCUUGCGUCUGAUUAGCUAGUUGGUGUGGUAACGGCACACCAAGGCUACGAUCGGUAACUGGUCUGAGAGGAUGAUCAGUCACACUGGAACUGAGACACGGUCCAGACUCCUACGGGAGGCAGCAGUGAGGAAUAUUGGGCAAUGCUCGAAAGAGUGACCCAGCAACGCCGCGUGGAGGAUGAAGGUAUUCUAUAUCGUAAACUCCUGUGAGAGCAGACGAAAGACAGAUUAUUAAUCUAGGAUGACUGUAAUGCUCAAGAGGAAAGCCCCCGGGCUAAACU
Molecule: ribosomal RNA, 482 nt
Filed under: uncultured bacterium
Lineage: Bacteria
Description: bacterial SSU rRNA
Rfam family: Bacterial small subunit ribosomal RNA
Source: RNAcentral